UUGACCUCGGAUCAGGUAGGAAUACCCGCUGAACUUAAGCAUAUCAAUAAAGCGGA
This 56-nucleotide ribosomal RNA is filed under the name Diaporthe australafricana. RNAcentral's name for it is "partial 28S ribosomal RNA". RNAcentral also lists the same sequence under 1 other name. The record is from RNAcentral. Lineage: Eukaryota; Fungi; Ascomycota; Sordariomycetes; Diaporthales; Diaporthaceae.